AUUGAACGCUGGCGGCAUGCCUUACACAUGCAAGUCGAACGGCAGCGCGGGGCAACCUGGCGGCGAGUGGCGAACGGGUGAGUAAUAUAUCGGAACAUACCCUAGAGUGGGGAUAACGUAGCGAAAGUUACGCUAAUACCGCAUACGCACUAAGGUGGAAAGUGGGGGAUCUUCGGACCUCAUGCUCAUGGAGUGGCCGAUAUCUGAUUAGCUAGUUGGUGAGGUAAAGGCUCACCAAGGCGACGAUCAGUAGCUGGUUUGAGAGAACGACCAGCCACACUGGAACUGAGACACGGUCCAGACUCCUACGGGAGGCAGCAGUGGGAAUUUGGACAAGUGGGGGCAACCCUGAUCCAGCAAUGCCGCGUGCGGGAAGAAGCCUUCGGUGU
RNAcentral lists this ribosomal RNA (389 nucleotides) under uncultured bacterium. RNAcentral's name for it is "bacterial SSU rRNA". It matches the Rfam family "Bacterial small subunit ribosomal RNA", at positions 30 to 426 of the family's 1533-position model. The record is from RNAcentral.